AGCCGACGCAGGCAGCCGCCGGGUGAAGUACGCAGGUACCGCAGGUACCCGGCGCCCGCCCGAUUUCAGGGCAAGUUACUGUUUUCAGAAUCCAAGGGGAAUCUAACACCUAAACAAUGCCAAGAGAAAAGGAAGGAAAACGAAAAACUAAAGGAGCACUCCUGCCCAUCAUUCCAACUCUUAAAAAGUUCCUGAAAACGUAUGAGAAGUAUUGUGCACAGACUCAGACGUCUGUGUGUCCAGCCAUCAAAAGGGACUUGAAAACCAGCAUCAAUAAUGAACAGAUUCUCAGGAAGUUUGUACUUGUAAGACCUGAUGACUCCCCGCCAGGCAUCCUACCAAUUUCCUUGGAACCUCUGCUCAUGACAGUUCAGGAUGAGUGUUUCACUCUGGGGAGAGAGAUCUGCAUUUGGGGCCUUCAACUGAGCAACCCAGAGAUGGCCAGACUCGCUUUGCUUUUGGAAUCAAAGGGGUGCACCACCUGCCCAUUUACCACCCUGGAACUCAUUGAUUGCAAGAUGGAUCUGUGGUCCCUGGGGAGACUUGGGAAGGCUCUUCAGUCCAGCAGUUUGCAAACUCUUGUUCUUGAUUACUGCAAAUUUGGAAAUGAAGAAAUUGAGAGGAUUUUCUCAGGCCUGGAGAACAACCAAAGGCUUCAAGUCCUCAGCUUACGUUACUGUGGUCUGGGGCCACAGAUUGGGCCAAGGCUGGGCUCUAUCAUAUGCCAGAGUGCCAUUUGUGAGCUGCACCUUGAUGGCAAUUACUUGCAGUGUUCUGGAGCUCUGGAUCUCCUCAGACCCGUAGCAGAGUAUGCAGAGAUGCAGGGGAAAGACCAGCCAGCCACUUGCUCACCAGACCCUAGGCAUCCCCCUCAGCUGCUCCAAGCUAAGCAGAGAGGAAGUUCAACUUUGAACCAGAUUACAAAGUCAUCUGGAGCUCUAACAGUGAAAACUACUUCAGGAAAGAAGAGAAAAAAAGGAAUCAAGAAAAAACUUAAAAAUUUGGAAGUUGGACCUUGGUUAGUGAAGUUGUAUUUGGCAGAUAAUGGCAUAGAUGGAAAAGGAAAAGAAGGAGAAAAUAACUUGCUGGAAUUCACUCAAAUUUUAACAUGCCUGAUCAAAUACUCUGCCCAUUUAAGGGAGAUUGACCUUGGAAACAAUGUCCUGGGAGAAAUGGCUGCUGCUGACAUUCUUGAAGCACUGAGAGCCAGAAAGACAGGUAAACUUCCAGUUUUAAAAGUUACAGUAACUCCCCAGAUCUCUUCAGAUACCUUCAUGUCUAUUUGGGAAAAUAGCAAGAAAUCAAGUACUACCCAUAAAAAGAGGAAAAAGGUAUGCUCUCAGAUAUCUGUGCUGGUAAGUAGAAGCCACCAGGGGGUGCUCUAUGGAGUCUGGGCACUCUGCUAGGAUAGAUGGUGCCCUGAGUAGCACAUUUUGCACUUGAUCAAAUCAGGAACAUUUGGGUUCUAGGUAACACUCCCCUAAAGCAUCAUUCCAUACUGAUGGAUGAUGACCAAGGGACGAGCGGUAACAGAAUAACAUAGUUCUCUCAAAGAAUAGCGCAAACUCUACCUCUUCUCUUCAAACCACAACAUACACACAAAAUCCUGGCUCCAAUUAGCCUAUUUGUGGAUCUAAAACAAUGAAUUUACCUAAGCUCUUUAUGAAGCUGUUCUACAUCUUAAGGGGUAAUGAUUUACAUGUGCUUACUCUCUAUGUAGUUGAACUUCCUUUUUCAUUUUUUUUCUAUUUAUUAUCUCUUGUUCAUUUUUUCACAGGCUAGAAACUGAAUAUGGAUGCCAUAUAGCCAUAUGGAUUUUAUCUAUUUCCAUGACCUACCACACAUGCCUGGAAAGAUAUUGUUUGUUCUAUAAUAAUAUUUUUCACUAUAACCAAGCCCCUUUCAAGUUGUAAGAUUUGAUAAGACUCCUUAAUGAAAGUUCAAAGUAGUGUUAGUCCUACCAUGCUUGUCAUUUUCUAAAAUGUUGACUUUAUAAAUAAGCCUUGGUAAAAAUAAGUGGGAUUCUUCUCUGAAGCUUGUUCUCUUGUGCGUGUGAAAUUUAUAGUUUGAAGGAAGUCAUGAUCUUUAAGAAAGAAAGACUUGUCUUUCAUAAAUAUAUCUAUGGUUGGGAAAAAUAGGGAUUUUUGGGGGAAAUAACCACUUUCUAAAAGGCAACAACCCUAACAAUGGGGAUCUUCCCCAAAUGAGGAAAAUUCUGAUCACUCUACCCUCCAUACUCUGUAAGAUUUCAAUAGCUCCAAAGGAAAUGGAAGCAGUAUCCUGAUCAAUGCAUAGAUGAUAAAUUGAAUUAGGUAAAUUGUAUACAGUACAGGGAUAAAAAGCAUGGGCUAGGCAAUUAGAUGAACCAGAAUUCUCUGUGGAAUCCUGCUGCUUUCCGGGUGACCU
RNAcentral lists this long non-coding RNA (2406 nucleotides) under Sus scrofa (pig). Its description in RNAcentral is "lncRNA (ENSSSCG00050015423.1)". Lineage: Eukaryota; Metazoa; Chordata; Mammalia; Artiodactyla; Suidae. The record is from RNAcentral.